GUUAUACACUUGAUCUCUGAACUUCAGGUAAGUUCACCUGUUGACAAGUUUAUGUGCUGAUGCC
Molecule: small nucleolar RNA, 64 nt
Organism: Theobroma cacao (cacao)
Lineage: Eukaryota; Viridiplantae; Streptophyta; Magnoliopsida; Malvales; Malvaceae
Rfam family: Small nucleolar RNA snoR101
Source: Rfam